This 399-nucleotide long non-coding RNA is filed under the name Capsicum annuum. RNAcentral's name for it is "long non-coding RNA (CANN_LNC021543)". The record is from RNAcentral. Lineage: Eukaryota; Viridiplantae; Streptophyta; Magnoliopsida; Solanales; Solanaceae.
UUGGUUGGUUUAAAAUGGUUAACUGAAGGGUCUUUAAGGGUAUUUUUUUUUAGUGGUUAAGUUUGGAGACUUGGAAGGUUGUAAAUUGUUAAGUAUAGGGACUUUAAGGGUUCUUUAUUCUUUUGGAAGUGGUUAUAUUGGGUGACUUGUUAGGUUGAAAAUUGUUAAGGCAAGGAAUUUAAAUGUGUUUUUUUGUUUGUUUUAAAAGUGGUAAUAUUUGAUGAGUUGAAAGGUUGAAAAUGAUUAUGUGUAGCGACUUUAAAGGUGUUUUUUGUUUUAAAUGUUGUUUUGUUUGGUGAGUUGUUAGAUCGAAAAAGGUUAUGUGUAGGAACUUUAAAAGUGCUUUUCUUUUUAGAAAAUGGUUAUGUUUGGUGACUUGGUAGGUUGAAAAUGGUUAAN